UGGGGAAUUUUGGACAAUGGGCGAAAGCCUGAUCCAGCAAUGCCGCGUGUGUGAAGAAGGCCUUCGGGUUGUAAAGCACUUUUGUCCGGAAAGAAAUCCUUGGCUCUAAUACAGUCGGGGGAUGACGGUACCGGAAGAAUAAGCACCGGCUAACUACGUGCCAGCAGCCGCGGUAAUACGUAGGGUGCAAGCGUUAAUCGGAAUUACUGGGCGUAAAGCGUGCGCAGGCGGUUUGCUAAGACCGAUGUGAAAUCCCCGGGCUCAACCUGGGAACUGCAUUGGUGACUGGCAGGCUAGAGUAUGGCAGAGGGGGGUAGAAUUCCACGUGUAGCAGUGAAAUGCGUAGAGAUGUGGAGGAAUACCGAUGGCGAAGGCAGCCCCCUGGGCCAAUACUGACGCUCAUGCACGAAAGCGUGGGGAGCAAACAGGAUUAGAUACCCUGGUAGUCCACGCCCUAAACGAUGCCAACUAGUUGUUGGGGAUUCAUUUUCCUUAGUAACGUAGCUAACGCGUGAAGUUGACCGCCUGGGGAGUACGGUCGCAAGAUUAAAACUCAAAUGAAUUGACGGGGUCAUAGCUG
Molecule: ribosomal RNA, 580 nt
Filed under: uncultured bacterium
Lineage: Bacteria
Description: partial 16S ribosomal RNA
Rfam family: Bacterial small subunit ribosomal RNA
Source: RNAcentral